This 185-nucleotide non-coding RNA is filed under the name Methylacidiphilaceae bacterium. RNAcentral's name for it is "Candidatus Methylacidiphilaceae bacterium 6S RNA". It matches the Rfam family "6S / SsrS RNA". From Rfam's summary of the family: E. coli 6S RNA was the first non coding RNA to be sequenced, but its function was unknown until recently. It consists of 184 nucleotides that fold into an extended hairpin structure with a large single-stranded internal bulge. The record is from RNAcentral. Lineage: Bacteria; Pseudomonadati; Verrucomicrobiota; Methylacidiphilae; Methylacidiphilales; Methylacidiphilaceae.
AUUUCCCUAUGCUGCUCGUGCUUGGGAUGCAUGCCUUUCCUCCGAUAAGUUCGAUUACGGGAGCCGGAAUUGCUCGCGCGGCCAACGCCAGGCCUUCACUGGAAGACGGAAGCACGCGGCAAGGUUCCCACUUAUGUGUAAAGUGGUCGAAAGGCCCCAUUCCCACACGGCAGCACGGGGAAGCU